RNAcentral lists this ribosomal RNA (459 nucleotides) under uncultured Streptococcus sp. RNAcentral describes it as "partial 16S ribosomal RNA". It matches the Rfam family "Bacterial small subunit ribosomal RNA", at positions 341 to 792 of the family's 1533-position model. The record is from RNAcentral. Lineage: Bacteria; Bacillati; Bacillota; Bacilli; Lactobacillales; Streptococcaceae.
ACGGAAGGCAGCAGUAGGGAAUCUUCGGCAAUGGGGGCAACCCUGACCGAGCAACGCCGCGUGAGUGAAGAAGGUUUUCGGAUCGUAAAGCUCUGUUGUAAGAGAAGAACUUGUGUGAGAGUGUAAAGUUCCCACAGUGACGGUAACUUACCAGAAAGGGACGUCUAACUACGUGCCAGCAGCCGCGGUACUACGUAGGUCCCGAGCGUUGUCCGGAUUUAUUGGGCGUAAAGCGAGCGCAGGCGGUUUAAUAAGGCUGAAGGUAAAGGCAGUGGCUUAACCAUUGGUCGCUUUGGAAACUGUUAGACUUGAGUGCAGAAGGGGAGAGUGGAAUUCCAUGUGUAGCGGUGAAAUGCGUAGAUAUAUGGAGGAACACCGGUGGCGAAAGCGGCUCUCUGGUCUGUAACUGACGCUGAGGCUCGAAAGCGUGGGGAGCAAACAGGAUUAGAUACCCUGGUA